UACGAAGGGGGCUAGCGUUGUUCGGAAUUACUGGGCGUAAAGCGCACGUAGGCGGACUACUAAGUCAGGGGUGAAAUCCCGGGGCUCAACCCCGGAACUGCCUUUGAUACUGAUAGUCUCGAGUCCGGAAGAGGUGAGUGGAAUUCCGAGUGUAGAGGUGAAAUUCGUAGAUAUUCGGAGGAACACCAGUGGCGAAGGCGGCUCACUGGCCCGGUACUGACGCUCAUGUGCGAAAGCGUGGGGAGCAAACAGG
This 253-nucleotide ribosomal RNA is filed under the name uncultured bacterium. RNAcentral's name for it is "partial 16S ribosomal RNA". It matches the Rfam family "Bacterial small subunit ribosomal RNA", at positions 524 to 776 of the family's 1533-position model. The record is from RNAcentral.